AGGGUUCGAUUCUGGCUCAGGAUGAACGCUAGCGGCAGGCCUAAUACAUGCAAGUCGAACGGUAAACGCCCCUUCGGGGGCGUGAGAGUGGCGGACGGGUGCGCAACGCGUAUGCAACCCACCCCCCGACGGGCGCACAGCCGGUGGAAACGCCGGGUAAUGCGCCAUGCGGCCGCGAGGGGGCAUCCCCUUGGGGUCAAGGCGGCGACGCGGUCGGGGACGGGCAUGCGUCCCAUUAGAUAGUAGGCGGGGCAACGGCCCACCUAGUCUACGAUGGGUAGGGGAUCUGAGAGGACGGUCCCCCACACUGGUACUGAGACACGGACCAGACUCCUGCGGGAGGCAGCAGUAAGGGAUAUUGGUCAAUGGGCGGAAGCCUGAACCAGCCAUGCCCGCGUGAGGUAGGAAGGCCCUACGGGUCGUAAGCCUCUUUUACACGGGGACAAGGACGGCGUCGCGAACGCUGUUUGAGGGUACUGUGGGAAUAAGCGUCGGCUAACUCCGUGCCAGCCGCUGC
This 517-nucleotide ribosomal RNA is filed under the name uncultured bacterium. Its description in RNAcentral is "bacterial SSU rRNA". It matches the Rfam family "Bacterial small subunit ribosomal RNA", at positions 8 to 518 of the family's 1533-position model. The record is from RNAcentral.